UACGUAGGUGGCGAGCGUUACUCGGAAUUACUAGGCGUAAAGCGCAGGUAGGCGGUUGGGUAAGUCCGUAAUGAAAUCUCCCGGCUUAACUGGGAGGGGUUUAGGGAUACUGCCUGACUCGAGUGUGGUAGAGGUCACUGGAAUUCCUGGUGUAGCGGUGAAAUGCGUAGAGAUCAGGAGGAACACCUAUGGCGAAAGCAGGUGACUGGACCAAUACUGACGCUGAGCUGCGAAAGCUAGGGGAGCAAACAGG
Molecule: ribosomal RNA, 253 nt
Filed under: uncultured bacterium
Lineage: Bacteria
Description: partial 16S ribosomal RNA
Rfam family: Bacterial small subunit ribosomal RNA
Source: RNAcentral